Molecule: transfer RNA, 56 nt
Filed under: Cordylochernes scorpioides
Lineage: Eukaryota; Metazoa; Arthropoda; Arachnida; Pseudoscorpiones; Chernetidae
Description: tRNA-Ser
Source: RNAcentral
GUCCAGGGAUGGGAAUCGAACCCAGGCAGAUGCUAUGUCCACUAGGCUACCCUGGA